GGAAAGGAAAGUUUUGAGAAAUUUGGAAAGGCUCUGCCUCCUUGAGGAAGUGGGGUUUUCCUCUCUGCUGUCCCCUUGACCACAAGAUUGUGCUGCUCGGAGCUCCUGGAGAUAAGUUGGGAUUCCACAAGUCAAGAAUACAACACAAUCAAGCACAUUUGUUUCCACCAUUACAGCCACAGCUCUCCAGUAAGGCAUGAACCAGCUACAGACAGUUGGACAAGGGGUAUCCAAAGGAGUGUCUAAAAGAUCUGCAAGGAGCAUGGGCAGAUCCUUAGCAGAGGUGAGGAUUUCCUGUCACUAGAAGUCUGUCCAGCAUGGGGAACCAUGAGGGUUAGUGGAGACUUCAGAGGCUUCUAGAGUUGAGGCCUCUACAAGCUUUGCCGCCCUGGCUCUUAACGGGUGGAUAUGCCUUGCUGCCGGACCCAAUGGAAGACUAAGGUCUUACUCAGCCUUUCUUAUGCAAGGCCUCCCUCCUGCAGGCCCUGCUGUGAAGUAUACUCCACAAUCUGCACCACGACUUCUUCCCUUUCCCUCCUGCCUCACUCAGGCCUGGAUGCGGAAGGAGGAGACUCAAGAACUGAAAGAUCCUUUAAGGAUUAUUCUGCCCAAGAUACUGUUAAGGACGAAGAACUGACUUGUCCAAGGCCCUGACAGGUUAGAGACUGAGCAGAGAGGGAGAGCCCAUAUCUGACUCCUGUCUGGUGUGUUUUCCCGUCGCACAGGUGGGAGCCUAGCCCUGCAGACCCAGGAGGGACCCUCCUCCCUCUGAGCAGGAAGGAAGCCUCUCUCCUCAGCUCCUGCCAAGGGGUGGGUCCUGACCAAGCAUGAGGGCAGCUUAAGCCCUUGGGCAACAGCACAGGCUAAAGAGAGGGCAAACAUGACCCUGACCAAGAGCUCUGGGCGGCGGGGACAGACACACGGAGUAGCACGUACUGUACACGUUACUACUGUUAGGAAGCCAUCCUCAAGUAGCCAUCGUC
RNAcentral lists this long non-coding RNA (983 nucleotides) under Equus asinus (donkey). RNAcentral's name for it is "lncRNA (ENSEASG00005026701.1)". The record is from RNAcentral. Lineage: Eukaryota; Metazoa; Chordata; Mammalia; Perissodactyla; Equidae.